GAUGAACGCUGGCGGCGUGCCUAAUACAUGCAAGUCGAGCGAACAGACGAGGAGCUUGCUCCUCUGACGUUAGCGGCGGACGGGUGAGUAACACGUGGAUAACCUACCUAUAAGACUGGGAUAACUUCGGGAAACCGGAGCUAAUACCGGAUAAUAUAUUGAACCGCAUGGUUCAAUAGUGAAAGACGGUUUUGCUGUCACUUAUAGAUGGAUCCGCGCCGCAUUAGCUAGUUGGUAAGGUAACGGCUUACCAAGGCAACGAUGCGUAGCCGACCUGAGAGUGUGAGCGGACACACUGGAACUGAGACACGGUCCAGACUCCUACGGGAGGCAGCAGUAGGGAAUCUUCCGCAAUGGGCGAAAGCCUGACGGAGCAACGCCGCGUGAGUGAGGAAGGUCUUCGGAUCGUAAAACUCUGUUAUUAGGGAAGAACAAAUGUGUAAGUAACUAUGCACGUCUUGACGGUACCUAAUCAGAAAGCCACGGCUAACUACGUG
Molecule: ribosomal RNA, 497 nt
Filed under: uncultured bacterium
Lineage: Bacteria
Description: partial 16S ribosomal RNA
Rfam family: Bacterial small subunit ribosomal RNA
Source: RNAcentral